RNAcentral lists this transfer RNA (73 nucleotides) under Desulfosporosinus acidiphilus SJ4. RNAcentral describes it as "tRNA-Thr (CGT) (tRNA-Thr-CGT-2-1)". Lineage: Bacteria; Bacillati; Bacillota; Clostridia; Eubacteriales; Desulfitobacteriaceae. The record is from RNAcentral.
AGAACUAGUUAGGAUGCUAGUCAACUCACUCGUAAUGAGCAGGCCGUCGGUUCGAUUCCGACCAUCGGCUCCA